UACGAACCGUGCGAACGUUAUUCGGAAUCACUGGGCUUAAAGCGCGUGUAGGCGGGACGGCACGUCGGUCGCUGAAAUCCCCCGGCUCAACCGGGGAACGGGCGCCGAUACGACCGCCCUGGAGGGACGUAGGGGGACCUGGAACUUCCGGUGGAGCGGUGAAAUGCGUUGAGAUCGGAAGGAACGCCCGUGGCGAAAGCGAGGUCCUGGACGUCUUCUGACGCUGAGACGCGAAAGCCAGGGGAGCGAACGGG
This 254-nucleotide ribosomal RNA is filed under the name uncultured bacterium. Its description in RNAcentral is "partial 16S ribosomal RNA". It matches the Rfam family "Bacterial small subunit ribosomal RNA", at positions 524 to 776 of the family's 1533-position model. The record is from RNAcentral.